CGAUACAGGGUGACAGCCCCGUACACAAAAAUGCACAUGCUGUGAGCUCGAUGAGUAGGGCGGGACACGUGGUAUCCUGUCUGAAUAUGGGGGGACCAUCCUCCAAGGCUAAAUACUCCUGACUGACCGAUAGUGAACCAGUACCGUGAGGGAAAGGCGAAAAGAACCCCGGCGAGGGGAGUGAAAAAGAACCUGAAACCGUGUACGUACAAGCAGUGGGAGCACGCUUAGGCGUGUGACUGCGUACCUUUUGUAUAAUGGGUCAGCGACUUAUAUUCUGUAGCAAGGUUAACCGAAUAGGGGAGCCGAAGGGAAACCGAGUCUUAACUGGGCGUUAAGUUGCAGGGUAUAGACCCGAAACCCGGUGAUCUAGCCAUGGGCAGGUUGAAGGUUGGGUAACACUAACUGGAGGACCGAACCGACUAAUGUUGAAAAAUUAGCGGAUGACUUGUGGCUGGGGGUGAAAGGCCAAUCAAACCGGGAGAUAGCUGGUUCUCCCCGAAAGCUAUUUAGGUAGCGCCUCGUGAAUUCAUCUCCGGGGGUAGAGCACUGUUUCGGCAAGGGGGUCAUCCCGACUUACCAACCCGAUGCAAACUGCGAAUACCGGAGAAUGUUAUCACGGGAGACACACGGCGGGUGCUAACGUCCGUCGUGAAGAGGGAAACAACCCAGACCGCCAGCUAAGGUCCCAAAGUCAUGGUUAAGUGGGAAACGAUGUGGGAAGGCCCAGACAGCCAGGAUGUUGGCUUAGAAGCAGCCAUCAUUUAAAGAAAGCGUAAUAGCUCACUGGUCGAGUCGGCCUGCGCGGAAGAUGUAACGGGGCUAAACCAUGCAC
This 835-nucleotide ribosomal RNA is filed under the name Escherichia coli. Its description in RNAcentral is "partial 23S ribosomal RNA". It matches the Rfam family "Bacterial large subunit ribosomal RNA", at positions 354 to 1194 of the family's 2925-position model. Lineage: Bacteria; Pseudomonadati; Pseudomonadota; Gammaproteobacteria; Enterobacterales; Enterobacteriaceae. The record is from RNAcentral.